This 446-nucleotide ribosomal RNA is filed under the name uncultured bacterium. RNAcentral's name for it is "partial 16S ribosomal RNA". It matches the Rfam family "Bacterial small subunit ribosomal RNA", at positions 338 to 795 of the family's 1533-position model. The record is from RNAcentral.
CCUACGGGAGGCAGCAGUAGGGAAUUUUCGGCCAUGGGGGGAACCCUGACCGAGCAACGCCGCGUGAACGAAGAAGUUAUUCGUAAUGUAAAGUUCUUUUAACAGGGAAGAAAGAGAAAUUUGACGGUACCUGAAGAAUAAGCUCCGGCUAACUACGUGCCAGCAGCCGCGGUAAUACGUAGGGAGCGAGCGUUAUCCAGAAUUAUUGGGCGUAAAGGGUGCGUAGAGGGCAUAGUAAGUCUUUUGUAAAAAUGCUGGGCUAAACCCAGUAGGGCAAAAGAUACUGCAAAGCUAGAGUAUGCCAGAGGCAAGUGGAACUACAUGUGUAGCGGUAAAAUGCGUAGAUAUAUGUAAGAACACCAGUGGCGAAGGCGGCUUGCUGGGUCGAUACUGACAUUGAGGCACGAAAGCGUGGGGAGCAAACAGGAUUAGAUACCCCUGUAGUC